RNAcentral lists this ribosomal RNA (808 nucleotides) under Pseudomma roseum. RNAcentral describes it as "SSU rRNA". It matches the Rfam family "Eukaryotic small subunit ribosomal RNA", at positions 602 to 1432 of the family's 1831-position model. Lineage: Eukaryota; Metazoa; Arthropoda; Malacostraca; Mysida; Mysidae. The record is from RNAcentral.
AUAUAAAGUUGUUGCGGUUAAAAAGCUCGUAGUUGGAUCUCAGUUCCGGAUCGACGGUUCGCCUCUGGUGAUUUACUGUCGGUCCGAACAGCUCGUCGGCUCGCUCGGGGUGCUCUUCACCGAGUGUCCCGCGUGGCCGGCACGUUUACUUUGAAAAAAUUAGAGUGCUCAGAGCAGGCUUACCGCCUGAAUAGUUGUGCAUGGAAUAAUGGAAUAGGACCUCGGUUCUAUUUUGUUGGUUUUCGGAACCCGAGGUAAUGAUAAAUAGAGACGGACGGGGGCAUUCGUAUUGCGACGCUAGAGGUGAAAUUCUUGGACCGUCGCAAGACGAACUACUGUGAAAGCAUUUGCCAAGAACGUUCUUAUUAAUCAAGAACGAAAGUUAGAGGUUCGAAGGCGAUCAGAUACCGCCCUAGUUCUAACCAUAAACGAUGCUGACUAGCGAUCCGUCUGUGUUAAUCCCAUGACUAGACGGGCAGCUUCCGGGAAACCAAAGUCUUUGAGUUCCGGGGGAAGUAUGGUUGCAAAGCUGAAACUUAAAGGAAUUGACGGAAGGGCACCACCAGGAGUGGAGCCUGCGGCUUAAUUUGACUCAACACGGGGAACCUCACCAGGCCCGGACACCGGAAGGAUUGACAGAUUGAGAGCUCUUUCUUGAUUCGGUGGGUGGUGGUGCAUGGCCGUUCUUAGUUGGUGGAGCGAUUUGUCUGGUUAAUUCCGAUAACGAACGAGACUUUAGCCUACUAACUAGUCGGAGGGUCUAAUACAAGUGCCCUCCGCAGCUUCUUAGAGGGAUAAGCGGCAUCUA